RNAcentral lists this ribosomal RNA (701 nucleotides) under Halomonas sp. Its description in RNAcentral is "bacterial SSU rRNA". It matches the Rfam family "Bacterial small subunit ribosomal RNA", at positions 56 to 755 of the family's 1533-position model. The record is from RNAcentral. Lineage: Bacteria; Pseudomonadati; Pseudomonadota; Gammaproteobacteria; Oceanospirillales; Halomonadaceae.
UGCAGUCGAGCGGUAACAGGGGUAGCUUGCUACCCGCUGACGAGCGGCGGACGGGUGAGUAAUGCAUAGGAAUCUGCCCGAUAGUGGGGGAUAACCUGGGGAAACCCAGGCUAAUACCGCAUACGUCCUACGGGAGAAAGGGGGCUCCGGCUCCCGCUAUCGGAUGAGCCUAUGUCGGAUUAGCUAGUUGGUGAGGUAAAGGCUCACCAAGGCGACGAUCCGUAGCUGGUCUGAGAGGAUGAUCAGCCACAUCGGGACUGAGACACGGCCCGAACUCCUACGGGAGGCAGCAGUGGGGAAUAUUGGACAAUGGGGGGAACCCUGAUCCAGCCAUGCCGCGUGUGUGAAGAAGGCCCUCGGGUUGUAAAGCACUUUCAGUGAGGAAGAACGCCUGGUGGUUAAUACCCAUCAGGAAAGACAUCACUCACAGAAGAAGCACCGGCUAACUCCGUGCCAGCAGCCGCGGUAAUACGGAGGGUGCGAGCGUUAAUCGGAAUUACUGGGCGUAAAGCGCGCGUAGGUGGCUUGAUAAGCCGGUUGUGAAAGCCCCGGGCUCAACCUGGGAACGGCAUCCGGAACUGUCAAGCUAGAGUGCAGGAGAGGAAGGUAGAAUUCCCGGUGUAGCGGUGAAAUGCGUAGAGAUCGGGAGGAAUACCAGUGGCGAAGGCGGCCUUCUGGACUGACACUGACACUGAGGUGCG